RNAcentral lists this ribosomal RNA (363 nucleotides) under Tardigrada environmental sample. Its description in RNAcentral is "bacterial SSU rRNA". It matches the Rfam family "Eukaryotic small subunit ribosomal RNA", at positions 199 to 554 of the family's 1831-position model. The record is from RNAcentral. Lineage: Eukaryota; Metazoa; Tardigrada.
GAGCGCAGUUAUUAGAACAAGACCAAUCCGGCCUUCGGGUCGAGUAAAAUUGGUGACUCUGAAUAACCGAAGCGGAGCGCAUGGUCUCGUACCGGCGCCAGAUCUUUCAAGUGUCUGACUUAUCAGCUUGUUGUUAGGUUAUGUUCCUAACAAGGCUUCAACGGGUAACGGGGUAUCAGGGGUCCGAUUCCGGAGAGGGAGCCUGAUCAAACGGCUACCACAUCCAAGGAAGGUAGCAGGCGCCCAAAUUACCCACUCCUAGCACAGGGAGGUAGUGACUAAAAAUANCGAUGCGAGGGGCUAAUUGCUUCUCGUAAUCNGAAUGGGUACACUUUAAAUCCUUUAACGAGGAUCUAUUGGAGG